RNAcentral lists this long non-coding RNA (636 nucleotides) under Eucalyptus grandis. Its description in RNAcentral is "long non-coding RNA (EGRA_LNC007243)". Lineage: Eukaryota; Viridiplantae; Streptophyta; Magnoliopsida; Myrtales; Myrtaceae. The record is from RNAcentral.
AACCCGCGCUUCCAUGGCAGUCACUGAGGUGCAGGACGAGCGUCAAGAAUUUCGGGAAUGGAUGAAUAAAGGUUUGAACGAGAACAGCAAGCUCUUGAACGAGGAGCUAACAACAGAGCCUCUCAGCCAAACUCGUCAGAGCUGAUGCCGACGAUCGCAUGAGGUCGAGUUGGAGUUGGCAAUGGUGGCGACGUUGCUCUAGAAACUCAGCUGGCGUUACAGUGAGGGAGCUCGGCGGAAUGGUGAGGUGAGGGAGAAGAAUCAUCAGAGCUCCCUGACGCCGGUAGGAGAGCUCGUGAGAUAUAAAAGCCAUAGAGAGGACCCUUCGGUCCUGUUGGCGUGUGUAGAGAAAUCCAGGCGCGACAAAGGUGGAGGUCAGGAGAGGAAGAGAACCGGUUUCCAUGAGUGAUUCCAAGUCCGAGAGAAUAAAUGGAGAGGGAAUUCGUCUCUCUCUCUCUCUCUCUCUCUCUCUCUCUCUCUCUCUCUCUGUGUGGACACUCAAAAAACCAACGUCAUAAACAUUGCAGAGGGGAGGGAUUCUCUGGAAUUUUGCGGAGAAGACGCACAAUCAGGAGUUCCUUCCUCCUGUGGAUCUCCUCCUCUGCGGCUGCAUUCAAUCUCGCCUACCCCCUGCAG